Molecule: unclassified non-coding RNA, 1394 nt
Filed under: Hevea brasiliensis (rubber tree)
Lineage: Eukaryota; Viridiplantae; Streptophyta; Magnoliopsida; Malpighiales; Euphorbiaceae
Source: RNAcentral
CAGUAAUAAAAAAAAAUCUUCUUGUUUCAUAAUGUCACGUGACAACACCAAGAUUUAAAAUACUACGUAACAGUAACAAGAAAAAAUCACUACGCUUUAUCUAAAUAUAUACAUUAUUAUUUUAUAAUGUCAUAACAUCACACCAACAAGCCUUUAUAACGUCUCAGCUUUUAAACCAUGCCUGUUAAUAAAACCUUUUUAUACUUCACCCUUAAAAAUUUGCAACGAAGGGGCUCUAACAGCUGGAUCCAUUUAUAAGUUCUGCUUGUCAAAUGCAGACAUCGCACCUAACAUAUCUCUGAUCUAGAUAUAGAUCACAGAAGUUCAAAGAUCACCAUUCAUCUUCAACCUCGUCUUUCAAGAACCAGAUCCUCAUAAGAAAAACAGGGUAAAGAGCAAGAGCCUUUCUUCUUGGGUUGACGGCUGAGCUCAUGAAUGGAUAGGCAGCCCAUGAGCUCCAAGCCAAUGUCACACACACUACAGCCACUUUUAUUAUCACAUUGUCCUUCAACAUACAGAUUACGGCUCCAAUGUCCAGAGGGAAAAGACAAUAACCCAGAAGGCUCAGACUUUGGAAGAAAAUUAUGUGUCCACCCAGUAGCAAAACAUUCAAUGUCAAGAUUACAGCACCCGCUGCAAGUAGUGCAAAUGCCACAGCAAAAACCUCAGACUUCUUCACCGAAGCAGACCAUGAGAGAGUAAGCCCCAGAAAAACUAUGAAGAAAAAUGGGCCCCACAGAUCCCAAUCCCUCAAAGCCUUGCCUGGAUCUUCUCUAUACGGAUUAGGAAAUACUACCAGCUUCAAAUUACUCACGAUCCUCGACAGAUCUCUCUUCACCGUCUCCCAAACAGGCUCCGUCAACGUAUUCGGAGGUGACCCAAAUCCGGACGCACCAAUACUCGAAUGAGAGUUGACAGGAGGAGGGGGCGGAGCCGAGGGAACAGAUGGGACAAACGACGGUUUCUGGUGUGUCGAUGGCAGUGGAGGGAGAUUCGACGGAAUGAAUGGAGAGGAAGAGACAGGGAUUCGCGGCGGACUGGGCGGGCGGGCCGGUAGGACAGUUGCCGGACCGGAUUGAACGCUGGCGUUGAUUAGGUUCUCGAUCUCGUCGAUGUCAGAUUGGGAGGAUGCGUGAAGAGGGAUUGUGUCGCUGUGCGACAUUUUUUGUUCUUAGGUAAAAGUUCGUUUUUCCUUUUUCUCGGAAAUGAUGGAAAACUAAUAGAUCUGAGGAGUGGAAAAGAAUAUCCGCAGAAAGAAGAGCGAAAUCACUGAGAAUCGAUGGUUGGGUUGAGUUGAUUUUCUUCACUGUUACGGUCGCGGAGGUUUCUGUUUGUCAGCGGUUAAAACGUAGCCGUUGAAGUAAUUAACGGGAAAAAACAAAGUACGCGGUAGC